Molecule: long non-coding RNA, 488 nt
Filed under: Vigna radiata
Lineage: Eukaryota; Viridiplantae; Streptophyta; Magnoliopsida; Fabales; Fabaceae
Description: long non-coding RNA (VRAD_LNC005178)
Source: RNAcentral
UAGUUAGUAUGAUGAUAUGAUUGUUGUUUUAUACUAUUUUAAAUGGGUGUGAUAAGGAUAUUUUAUUGUUUGAAACAAAAUUCAAGUGGUUGCGAGAGUAUUAACCAAGUUACUAAGAUUUUUAGCUUAAAAGGAGGGGUCUUGGGUAGUGAAAUUUAAAAAUAUGUAUGAGAAUGUUAUUAGAAUUGUUUUGGUAUUGUCAUGAGGUAAUUUGAAACUUGUUAGGAGGGUUAGAUGAUUAAAAACUAUGUGAAUUAAAAAGGGUGGUAUAGAGGGGUUGUUUUCAAGUCUCUUUUUUUUUUAUAAAAGGAGGGUGUUGAGUAGUGAAAUGUUAAGGUUAGUGUGCUGCACUAUUUUGGAAGGUUAGGGGUAUGUUAUCUAUUAGGACCUUUCUAGAUGACUAAACGAGUGAAAUCUGUUCUGAAAUGGAAAAUGACUUCAUAGGUUGAGUUUUUAGCCCAUUUUAGGGGUUUUAAGGGGUGAAAAUG